GCACGUAGUUAGCCGGUGCUUAUUCUUACGGUACCGUCAUGGAACCCCCUUUAUUAGAAGGAGUCUUUUCGUUCCGUACAAAAGCAGUUUACAACCCGAAGGCCUUCAUCCUGCACGCGGCAUGGCUGGAUCAGGCUUUCGCCCAUUGUCCAAAAUUCCCCA
RNAcentral lists this ribosomal RNA (162 nucleotides) under uncultured bacterium. Its description in RNAcentral is "partial 16S ribosomal RNA". The record is from RNAcentral.